RNAcentral lists this ribosomal RNA (497 nucleotides) under uncultured bacterium. RNAcentral describes it as "partial 16S ribosomal RNA". It matches the Rfam family "Bacterial small subunit ribosomal RNA", at positions 28 to 507 of the family's 1533-position model. The record is from RNAcentral.
GAUGAACGCUGGCGGCGUGCCUAAUACAUGCAAGUCGAGCGAACAGACGAGGAGCUUGCUCCUCUGACGUUAGCGGCGGGGGGGUGAGUAACACGUGGAUAACUUACCUAUAAGACUGGGAUAACUUCGGGAAACCGGAGCUAAUACAGGAUAAUAUAUUGAACCGCAUGGUGCAAUAGUGAAAGACGGUUUUGCUGUCACUUAUAGAUGGAUCCGCGCCGCAUUAGCUAGUUGGUAAGGUAACGGCUUACCAAGGCAACGAUGCGUAGCCGACCUGAGAGGGUGAUCGGCCACACUGGAACUGAGACACGGUCCAGACUCCUACGGGAGGCAGCAGUAGGGAAUCUUCCGCAAUGGGCGAAAGCUUGACGGAGCAACGCCGCGUGAGUGAUGAAGGUCUUCGGAUCGUAAAACUCUGUUAUUAGGGAAGAACAAAUGUGUAAGUAACUAUGCACGUCUUGACGGUACCUAAUCAGAAAGCCACGGCUAACUACGUG